Molecule: long non-coding RNA, 1124 nt
Organism: Lucilia cuprina (Australian sheep blowfly)
Lineage: Eukaryota; Metazoa; Arthropoda; Insecta; Diptera; Calliphoridae
Exons: 2
Source: RefSeq, a predicted model, not a curated record
UAAUAAAAUAAAUUUUGAGAAAAUAAUAAAAACAAAAAAAGAAAUAUUUAAAAGUUCAACAACAACAGUAAAGAUUGAUAUGAAAUACCAUUAAUAUUUGGUAACAGAGGAUUAAGCUUAACAAACGAUUUCUAGUUAAAACGUUUAAGGAAAAGAUUUUAAAACUAAACGUAUUAAGAAAUUAAAAAAUAAAAAGUUUACUUUUUCCAUCAAACAAUAACUUUGUUAAUUGUGUAGGUUUUUUUUUUCAAAAAAAAAAAAAAAAAAAAAACAAAAAAACAAAACUUUUUUUCUCAGUGUAAUUUGAAAAUAUAAAAAAACUUUGAGUUUUUUCUCUUUAACUCUAUAGAAAUCUUAAGUUUAAGAAAAAAUUUCCUAGUAAACUUCAUUUAAACUUUCGUGUUUUUUCAAAUUCUCUACAGCAGACAAUUACGUUCUCAAAAUAUAUUUAUUUUCCAAUAAUAACAACAACAACAAAAAGGAGAAAAGAACGAAUUUAAUAAAAAACUAAAAUAAAACAAAAACUCAUACAAAUAAAACUUGAAAACAACAAAACUAUUAAACUCAAACUAGCAAAUAUACAGUAUUGAACAGAAGUAAAACAACACUAUUUAAAAUAAAACCCUAAAUAAACUAUAUAUGAAAAAAAGUUGUGGUCUGAUAAACUAAAGAGUGAAUAUUUUUUAAGAACUAAAUGCAAAACUAAAAAACAAAAAAAUAAAUUUCAAAAAAAAUUAUUUUGAAAAAAAAAGAUAAGCAAUUUUUUCAUAAAUGGUGUGCAUUUUUUAUAAAAAAUAAAUAGAAAAUAAAAUUUUAGUGUGUAAAAACAAAACAACUACUUUUUAUAAAACUUAAAAAUUAAAUAAGUGUUUUAUACCUAAAUAUACAAAAAAUAUAAAACUAAGGUUAUUGAUUAGAGAACAACUAAAGGAAGCAAACAUUUAGAGACGACACCAAAAUAUUAAACUAGAUAAAAAAGGACUUCCAACGAUUUUAGCAAAAGACGACGAAAAUUUAUAUUAAAAUAAAAAUAAUCUUUUUUUAAAGAUUUCCCUUGCUAUACAUUAAAAUUAAAUACACUUUCAACGGUUAACACAUAAAAGGCCAAAUUUAUAAUUGUAAAA